AUCAUUAUUAGAUAAUGACAAGCUCAUGGGACCUAAUUUCGAUAGUUGGUAUCGAAAAUUAAAAAUCAUCCUUGAGCAUGAGCGGAUCCUUUAUAUAGUAACGGAUCCGGCACCUGAGGAGCCAGCCCUGAACGCUAGAGGGAUGGUCCGAGAUACUUACCAGAAGUGGCUCAACGACCGCACCACCGUUCGGUGCAUUAUGCUGGCAUCAAUGAAUGAUGAGUUCAGUCGUAGGUUCGAGAACGCCCAACCACAGGAGAUACUUCAAAUGUUGAACGACUCCUUUGGCACGCCUGACGACGUUGAAAGGCACAAAACUAGUUAUGCCAUUUUCAAUAUUCGGAUGAGGGAUGGAGCCUCAGUCACUGAUCAUGUACUGUACAUGAUCGAAAUGAUUGAGCACCUAAAUAAACUGAGCUUUCCCCUGCAUGAGCAGCUCGAUAAGGAUGCAAUCCUUAAUUCUCUGCCCAAGUCCUACCUUCUCUUCCUUACUCAUUUUCGAAUGACAAAGCCUGUAGUGAACUACCAUGGCUUGUUGGGGUUGCUGCAGAACUUUGAGAAGGACCACCAGCUCCAUAAGGAGUCGGUGAAUGUUGUGGGAGGGUCUUCUUCUGGUCGUCGACCCUUUAAAAAAGGAAAGAAGAAUAAAAAGAAGAAGAAUAAGAAGGUGCAACCAAAGUAGGUGAUUAUGAAUCACUUCCAACCUGUGAGUUCUGUCUUCUUGAUAAAAUGACCAAGUCACCUUUUAUUGAAAAAGGUGAGCGAGCCAGUGAACUCUUGGGUCUGGUACAUUUUGAUGCAUGUGGACCCAUGAGCUCAAGUGCAAGAGCUGGAUAUUUCUACUUCAUAACCUUCACAGAUGACCUAUCGAGGUAUGGAUAUGUCUAUUUAAUGAAACAUAAGUUGGAGUCGUUUGAAAUAUUCAAACUAUUUUNNNNNNNNNNNNNNNNNNNNAUCCUUGAGCAUGAGCGGAUCCUUUAUGUAGUAACGGAUCCGGCACCUGAGGAGCCAGCCCUGAACGCUAGAGGGACAGUCCGAGACACUUACCAGAAGUGACCCAACGAUCGCACCACCGUUCGGUGCAUUAUGAUGGCGGCAAUGAAUGAUGAGUUCAGCCGUAGGUUCGAGAACGCCCAACCACAGGAGAUGCUUCAAAUGUUGAACGACUCCUUUGGCACGUCUGACGACGUUGAAAGGCACAAAACUAGUUAUGCCAUUUUCAAUGCUCGGAUGAGGGAUGGAGCCUCAGUCACUGAUCAUGU
RNAcentral lists this long non-coding RNA (1262 nucleotides) under Elaeis guineensis (African oil palm). RNAcentral describes it as "long non-coding RNA (EGUI_LNC058500)". Lineage: Eukaryota; Viridiplantae; Streptophyta; Magnoliopsida; Arecales; Arecaceae. The record is from RNAcentral.